CAGUAGCCGCGGGAAUACAGAGGGUGCAAGCGUUAAUCGGAAUUACUGGGCGUAAAGCGCGCGUAGGUGGUUUGUUAAGUUGGAUGUGAAAGCCCCGGGCUCAACCUGGGAACUGCAUCCAAAACUGGCAAGCUAGAGUACGGUAGAGGGUGGUGGAAUUUCCUGUGUAGCGGUGAAAUGCGUAGAUAUAGGAAGGAACAUCUGUGGCGAAGGCGACUAUCUGGGCCAUUACUGACACUGAGGCACGAAAGCGUGGGGAGCAUACAGGAUUAGAUACCCCGGUAGUCCCUGUCUCUUAUAC
This 301-nucleotide ribosomal RNA is filed under the name uncultured bacterium. RNAcentral describes it as "partial 16S ribosomal RNA". It matches the Rfam family "Bacterial small subunit ribosomal RNA", at positions 509 to 807 of the family's 1533-position model. The record is from RNAcentral.